GGAAGAAGAUGAUAUCUAUACAAACGAUGGGACAGUGGAUUACAAAGGAAAUCCUGCUAAUAAGAAGAAAACUGGAACCUGGAGAACCUGCCCGUUUAUCAUAGGUAAUCACGGAACCUAGUAGUUGAAAUCUGUGAUUAAAGAUAUAUCAAGAUUGAUGUUUAGUUUAAGCAUUCUAUCAACAGGAAAUGAAGUCUGUGAAAGAUUGGCAUAUUAUGGGAUGAGCACCAAUCUGGUGCUUUACUUUAAGCACCAGCUAAAUCAGCAUAGCUCAGUGGCUGCUACUAAUAACCAGAACUGGGGUGGAACAUGCUACAUUACACCAAUAAUUGGAGCAUUUCUGGCUGAUUCUUAUCUAGGAAGAUAUUGGACAAUUGCCUGUUUUUCAAUCGUCUAUAUCAUUGUAAGUUUUACUUACCUGGUGCUUGUUAUUUAGUCCAGUAUUACCAAGUUCUUCGAAAAAUUUAUCUAUAUCUUGGUUUUUGAGACAAGAAAAGUUUUACCUUUUGCACAGGGAAUGACGCUUUUAGCUUUGUCUGCAUCGGUUCGCGGCAUAAGGCCUAGAUGCUAUGCAGAAGAUAACUGCAAUCCAACAGAGGUGCAAAGCGCGAUGACCUUUCUAGCGCUUUACCUGAUAGCACUAGGAACAGGUGGAAUCAAGCCUUGUGUUUCAUCAUAUGGAGCCGACCAGUUCGAUGACACAGACGAAAAGGAGAAAAAACACAAGAGUUCAUUCUUCAACUGGUUCUAUCUUUCCAUAAACAUCGGUGCUCUUAUUGCAGGCUCGGUGCUGGUUUGGGUACAAGAUAAUGUGAGCUGGGGAUGGGGUUUAGGCAUCCCAGCUAUAGCCAUGGCAAUAGCUGUCUGCUUUUUCUUUUCAGGUA
RNAcentral lists this long non-coding RNA (884 nucleotides) under Gossypium raimondii (Peruvian cotton). RNAcentral describes it as "long non-coding RNA (GRAI_LNC006913)". Lineage: Eukaryota; Viridiplantae; Streptophyta; Magnoliopsida; Malvales; Malvaceae. The record is from RNAcentral.